CUACCCUUGACAUGUACGGAAGCCACGAGAGAUCGAGGUGUGCUCGAAAGAGAACCGUAACACAGGUGCUGCAUGGCUGUCGUCAGCUCGUGUCGUGAGAUGUUGGGUUAAGUCCCGCAACGAGCGCAACCCUUGUCAUUAGUUGCUACGAAAGAGCACUCUAAUGAGACUGCCGGUGACAAACCGGAGGAAGGUGGGGAUGACGUCAAGUCCUCAUGGCCCUUAUGGGUAGGGCUUCACACGUCAUACAAUGGUACAUACAGAGGGCCGCCAACCCGCGAGGGGGAGCUAAUCCCAGAAAGUGUAUCGUAGUCCGGAUUGUAGUCUGCAACUCGACUACAUGAAGUUGGAAUCGCUAGUAAUCGCGGAUCAGCAUGUCGCGGUGAAUACGUUCCC
RNAcentral lists this ribosomal RNA (396 nucleotides) under uncultured soil bacterium. RNAcentral's name for it is "bacterial SSU rRNA". It matches the Rfam family "Bacterial small subunit ribosomal RNA", at positions 975 to 1375 of the family's 1533-position model. The record is from RNAcentral.